Hemicordylus capensis (graceful crag lizard) is the source of this 717-nucleotide long non-coding RNA. RefSeq lists it as uncharacterized. The transcript has 2 exons. NCBI's taxonomy places the organism in Eukaryota, Metazoa, Chordata, Lepidosauria, Squamata, Cordylidae. The record is from RefSeq and is a predicted model, not a curated record.
CGUUGCCAUUUUCCUGCCUCCACCUCCUUUGCUUCCCAUUGUUCCACCCCCGCCCAUGGUUGGAGAAGGGCGGGGAAAGCAGAGGGAAUCUCCAGCCGGGUAUUGAGCCGAAGAGCUGUCGAUCACGCACACCUCCUGAAACCCACGUCUCCUUUUCGCCAAGCUCCGCCCAGUAUUACUGAUGGAAGAUGCCGAUUGCAGGCUUGCCUUGUCCAUCGCCCAAAGGAGAGCCAGUGAAAAAAGAACCGCCCCGCAAUCUUUCUGGACAUGUGACGGGGAGCUACCUUUGGGCUGGAUUAGACUAUGGAACGACCCCAUUCGUAUGGUUUGGAUGCCUCCAGGAAUGGACAGGGCUAGAUGCCAGGGCUCCGCCAUGAAUCGCGUAGCCCCAGUUUUUAGAGUGUACUUGGUCUCCUUCUCCGAGCCCAGUCAUCAUCACGGUGUGCCUACAGCCUGAGAGCAUUGCAAGCCAACUUAACAAGCUGCUUCUGAUGGCUGGCACCAGACGCACUCCACUGAAGAAUUUUGGAAACAUUUUCCCUGCUUAGAAGUUGGGCAAAAUGUGUCAUGACCACAAAAAUCAGUAUUCUGGCACAACUAUAAGAGCAAAAUGUCGUUUUUGAAAUACAGUAACUCUUUCUACACCAAUACACGGCAGUAGCUACUUUUUUUUUUUAGCACAUUUCAAAUUCUUUCCUUUUAAAGUUAUUUCAUAUA